UGCAUACAUGAUUGUAAGUCGCUUUGGAUAAAAGCAUCUACUAAAUGGCAUAUA
Molecule: non-coding RNA, 54 nt
Organism: Salmo salar (Atlantic salmon)
Lineage: Eukaryota; Metazoa; Chordata; Actinopteri; Salmoniformes; Salmonidae
Source: Rfam